AGAAGAUGCAGACGAAGCAGAUGAGGGACACGGACACGUACACAUUGAAGCCCGUCACCUGGGCCAGCGCCAGGGCCGGGGCGUACACCACGAUGGCCAUGUACAGGCACAUCUACAAGGGAUGGACGUAAGAUUGAGGUCUACGUAUUGCACAAAACUUGACAAGAAAUACAAGUUCCAUACAAGUUCAAAUCAAGUUCAAUACAAGUUCAGCACAAGUUUUAAAUCAAGUUCAAAUCAAGCUCAAAUCGAGUUCAAUACAAGUUCAAAUCAAGUUCAGCACAAGUUUAAGCUCCAGCCGACCUCAAGGUUAUGAAAGACAAGUUCAUCCCUAACACAAGUCCAAUACAAGCGCAAAUCAAGUUCAGUGCAAGCUUCCAAUACUCACAUCAAGCUUAUGAAAGACAAGUUCAUCCCUAACACAAGUCCAAUACAAGCGCAAAUCAAGUUCAGGGCAAGCUUCCAAUACUCACAUCAAGGUUAUGAAAGACAAGUUCAUCCCUAACACAAGUCCAAUACAAGCGCAAAUCAAGUUCAGGGCAAGCUUCCAAUACUCACAUCAAGGUUAUGAAAGACAAGUUCAUCCCUAACACAAGUCCAAUACAAGCGCAAAUCAAGUUCAGGGCAAGCUUCCAAUACUCACAUCAAGGUUAUGGAAGACAAGUUCAUCCCUAACACAAGUCCAAUACAAGCUCAAAUCAAGUUCAGUGCAAGCUUCCAAUACUCACAUCAAGGUUAUGAAAGACAAGUUCAUCCCUAACACAAGUCCAAUACAAGCUCAAAUCAAGUUCAGGGCAAGCUUCCAAUACUCACAUCAAGCUUAUGGAAGACAAGUUCAUCCCUAACACAAGUCCAAUACAAGCUCAAAUCAAGUUCAGGGCAAGCUUCCAAUACUCACAUCAAGGUUAUGAAAGACAAGUUCAUCCCUAACACAAGUCCACUACAAGCUUCCAAUACUCACAUCAAGCUUAUGGAAGACCGGGAAGUAUAGGUAUGAAGCUGCCGGCAUCACCAGGAUAUAGGAGAAACCAAUGAGCCAAUAGACGAAGCCAAACUGAUACACCUCUGACGGAGUGCCCAGCAGCGUGAUGGCGGACAUGAAGCUGUGGAGGCAGGCAACAGAAGGGUUCAUGGUCUAAUGUGACGAAGAUGAGCGCUGAGGCCACGAGCAGCGGAUUCCCUUCAUCAGCUCCCCGUGUCCCCGCCGCUGUUUCCCGCUAAAGACACCCUUGUGAACACGUAGUCACAGGCCAUUCCCUUCAUCAGCUGCCCGUGUCCCCGUCGCUGUUUCCCGCUAAAGACACCCUUGUGAACACGUAGUCACAGGCCAUUCCCUUCAUCAGCUCCCCGUGUCCCCGCCGCUGUUUCCCGCUAAAGACGCCCUUGUGAACACGUAGUAGAGUCACAGGCCAUUCCCUUCAUCAGCUCCCCGUGUCCCCAGCCGCUGUUUCCCGCUAAAGACACCCUUGUGAACACGUAGUCACAGGCCAUUCCCUUCAUCAGCUCCCCGUGUCCCCAGCCGCUGUUUCCCGCUAAAGACACCCUUGUGAACACGUAGUCACAGGCCAUUCCCUACAUCAGCUCCCCGUGUCCCCAGCCGCUGUUUCCCGCUAAAGACACCCUUGUGAACACGUAGUCACAGGCCAUUCCCUUCAUCAGCUCCCCGUGUCCCCAGCCGCUGUUUCCCGCUAAAGACACCCUUGGGAACACGUAGAGGCCCCAUUCUCUUUCAUAAUAAAAUGCCUUUGUCUUUGUUAUAUAAUUACUUAAUUAGUCUACUUACUGUUGGUAGUAGUAGUAGUAGUAGAAGAAAUAGUAAUAAUUUUAGUAGAAGCAGUAGUAGUAUAUGUUAUUUAUAGAUUUGAGAAUUUACGAAGAACAUAAGAUAGCUAGUAUUAGUGGUAGUAGUAGUAGUAGUAGUAGUAGUAGUU
Long non-coding RNA from Eriocheir sinensis (Chinese mitten crab), 1931 nucleotides. RefSeq lists it as uncharacterized. The record is from RefSeq and is a predicted model, not a curated record. The transcript has 5 exons. Lineage: Eukaryota; Metazoa; Arthropoda; Malacostraca; Decapoda; Varunidae.